CCUACGGGUGGCUGCAGUGAGGAAUAUUGGUCAAUGGGCGCGAGCCUGAACCAGCCAAGUAGCGUGAAGGAUGACUGCCCUACGGGUUGUAAACUUCUGUUAUAAAGGAAUAAAGUGAGGCACGUGUGCCUUUUUGUAUGUACGUUAUGAAUAAGGAUCGGCUAACUCCGUGCCAGCAGCCGCGGUAAUACGGAGGUUCCGAUCGUUAUCCGGAUUUCUUGGGUGUAAAGGUAGCGUAUAUGGGUUGUUAAGUCAGUUGUGAACGUUUGCGGCUCAACCGUAAACUUGCAAUUGAUACUGGCAGUCUUUAUUACAGUUGAGGUAGGCUGAAUUCCUGGUGUAGCGG
RNAcentral lists this ribosomal RNA (346 nucleotides) under uncultured bacterium. Its description in RNAcentral is "partial 16S ribosomal RNA". It matches the Rfam family "Bacterial small subunit ribosomal RNA", at positions 338 to 681 of the family's 1533-position model. The record is from RNAcentral.